UGGAUUGGGCUAGGGGUGGGCCCAAGGGAAGGCGGGAGAUGCUUCUUUCUGAUUGGCCCUCCUUUGGCGGGUUCAGACAGUGCCCGGUCAAGGAGGGGAGAAGAACCCGGAACCGGCCCCAUCUUAAGGUACGGCGCCAUUUUAAGGUACCCCACGUUACCUAACAAAAUCGGUGAACAUCAAGCCCAGACCUAGGAUAGGGAACAGAAGAAGAACAUCAAACUUGCUAGCUCAGAGCGUCAAAAGUAGAGGAGAAACAGAAAGAAGGGUCCAGAAAGGCAGUUCAGAACUAAGACCAUGAACGGUCAAUUUGUACAGGAGCUCCCCUCUCCAGGGUGCUUGAACACAGAACAUCUCACUUAACUCUUAGCACAGUCCUUAAGGUCCAAAGCACAGUUUAUUUUUAAUACUGUAAAGAUACCACAGUCCUGAUCCUCAUUUUAAGAAGAAAAUGCUGCCAUCUUUAAAGAAAUAUAGCUUCACAUAAAAUCCUGAGUUACAAAAGUGAAGACCUAAAAUUCAGAUGAAACAUAAUAGUCUACUAAUGUUUCAAAUUGCCUAUUGGUUUAUUAUGUUUUCCCUUACUUAGGCAAGUAAAGUUAAGAACUAUUGAAGUUCACGGCCAUGAGGGCACAUCCAUGGAUAUCACAAAGCAGCCCUUUUACAUUUUCUGUCUCUGUGAAUCCAGCCUUCAGCAGGGUGAUUGACAGCUUCAACCUGGGGAAAGAACGCAGUCUUUCCUCUGGGACUUCCCAGACCCAAGACCCUGCCCAUCCCCAUCACAGCUCUCUAAGCCCGACUGCCUGUGAGGCGGAGAAAGACUCAAAAAAACUGUGCCAAUCCCAAUGAUAC
Long non-coding RNA from Symphalangus syndactylus (siamang), 852 nucleotides. RefSeq lists it as uncharacterized. NCBI's taxonomy places the organism in Eukaryota, Metazoa, Chordata, Mammalia, Primates, Hylobatidae. The record is from RefSeq and is a predicted model, not a curated record.